AUGAAAUUAUAUGCUGUCUUGUUUAGUUGUUUCAUAUACGUAAAGGCCGUCGGGUUUUAAAGCAAUUAUAAAAUCAAUAUUUAAAACAAACUUACCUAGCUUCGUUAACGUCGGCUCCCCUCUUUUAGCCGAUUCUUUCGCCCUUUCUUUCUUGAAAUUUACAAAAUCUUGCAAAAAUGCGAGCAACAAUGAAGAAUAUUUGCAAGAAAUUUAUCAAUCAUCAAAUCAAGAAAUGUUUGCUAUUUCGCUGUCGUCAUGCAGUCGUUAUAAUGCAAACUUUAAAUUGGACCAAUCACAGUGUUCGCUAUUCAUGACAGUCCGCCAUAUUUUUGAGAUCAGUGAGGAUGACCACCCACGCACAGUGACCCACGCCCGCGAUAUUUGAUGAAGUUUAGACUUCGCUAAUGCUUUCGUUUCCCUGGGUGUAAAUAGUCGGGGGGAAUUAGUACCCUCGCACGGCGCUUCGCGCCGUCGGCUCGGGGAUUACCGGUGUUUCCUAUUGCUGUGUUCCCUAUUAACCUAUUUCCUAUUACCGUGUUUCCUAUUGCUAUGUUCCCUGGCGGGCUAUUACCUAUUACCGUGUUUCC
This is a non-coding RNA of Paramuricea clavata, 587 nucleotides long. NCBI's taxonomy places the organism in Eukaryota, Metazoa, Cnidaria, Anthozoa, Malacalcyonacea, Plexauridae. The record is from the annotation of a GenBank genome assembly.